UCUGUUGUAAGGGAUCCUCACACAAUCAGGAGAUGCAGGCCAGAUGACUGUUGUCCCUAUUCUGAUGACAAGACUGCCUUUCAGAGCGUUUUGGUGACCACGGAGUGUCCCACAGCUGACUGCUCUCCUUUGCCUAAACUCGGCAAGGAUCCAAACACUUGCUACCAGCCAGGCCCCUUGUCCCUGUCCAUCUCCUGAAUGAGCCCAGAUGAUACGGUAAGUUUCUCCUAGUCUGGAGAAGUCUACGGUAAGUCUUCCUAGUAUGGAAAUUUCUGUCUUGGAUGAUUGAUCCUGAUUUUUAUUAUGUGGUGUAUAGACUCCACACUAGUAGAGUUUCCCUGAACUUAAGGUAAUUCAGGAAGGAAGUACCUUGAAUUCUAAGUUGAAAGAUGCUGGGAAGACUUGCUCAGUUGAAAGAUACUGGAGAGGUUUGGACUGUGUGAUUAGGUAGGAGACGGUCCUGUUCUUUUCCUUGAAUGGGUUGAUUUCAUGGAGUUGGUUGGAAUAAAAGUGAACAUACCAUAGGUGAGCUUUCAGUUCUGAAGAUAGGGGCAGAAUUCCUCCUGGCCGGUUUACAGCUCUCUCAGGCAACCAGAAGCUUGUGGGAGUGGUGGAGGCGAGUCUGCCCAUAGUACAGCAGCCCCUUGUGACACUCAGUUAUUAAAGAAACUUGCUGGUCUGGGACUUCCCUAGUGGUUCAGUGGUUAAGGACC
RNAcentral lists this long non-coding RNA (713 nucleotides) under Capra hircus (goat). RNAcentral describes it as "lncRNA (ENSCHIG00010032314.1)". Lineage: Eukaryota; Metazoa; Chordata; Mammalia; Artiodactyla; Bovidae. The record is from RNAcentral.